AGAGAGAGAAGGACCUGGCUACUUGGGAGCUGAGCAGCGUACAAAGAGUGGAGUAGGGCUGGGGAGCUCUAGUCUGGAAAACUCCAGACUGUAGGCCUUGCUAUAGGCCAGGAAAGGCAGAAUGAAGGGCAGUCCUGUUUCCCUUCCCCCAAAAAGGACUUGUCAGGGACAUCCAGUUAUAUUUGCAUGUUAUCAUCGGUUGGCAAAUGUGAACCUGCCAGAUAGAGUAUUGAUCCUAAGCAACAUCUGAGGCAUUUAUGGCUCACAUGCCUAUAUGAGUCAUUUGGAAAGCUGCAACCUGGUCAUCAUGUCACGCGUCUGCCUUUCACUGUGUGAUCUCUCAGCAAUCUAGAGAUGAUGGUAAAUUUGGGCAAGUAGUUCUCCAAUCCCUGUUCAAGAAGAUUCCAAACCCAUCUCCAGGUGGGACUGCUUGUGAGUCACCUACACUGAAAUGGCCAUGUGCAAUCACUCGAAGAAGAAAAAAAUUGUUACUAACCUUUCUGCAACUGCUGUUCUUCAACAUGGGUUACGCCAUUCCAUCACCCACCCUCCUUCUAUUCUUUACUGCAAUUUUUCUGGGAGGAAGGAACUGAAGGGAGUCAGGCUGGCUCGGCCCCUUAUGCCUGUGCACGGGGUGCAAAGCAGCAGAGGGCACUCAUGCUGCCCCGAUGGAUACCUCUAAGAGGAAAAACUCUCUAACAACCGUUCACUGGACCACAGAAACACUCACAGAGGGAAGACAUGUGCAACACCUCUUGAAGAACAACAGUUAGAGAAAGGUUAGUAACCAUUUUUUACUUAAUUAAAUAAUUCAGUUUAAACUGAACCCUGACUACUUCAGUACAUUUCCUUGCUAGUUGCAAAUUCUGGGUAUGAUCCCCCACCCUUUAAAUAGUACUUACUUACACAAGCAAUGCCAUUGAUUUCAAGAGGUCUACUUGUGUGCGUAGGGUGACUGCUCAGUAACGAAGAGUUUCCAAUCAAGUCCUCGUACUCCAUACAACCAAGCUUCUU
Dermochelys coriacea (leatherback sea turtle) is the source of this 1014-nucleotide long non-coding RNA. RefSeq lists it as uncharacterized. The record is from RefSeq and is a predicted model, not a curated record. The transcript has 2 exons. Lineage: Eukaryota; Metazoa; Chordata; Testudines; Dermochelyidae.